RNAcentral lists this long non-coding RNA (803 nucleotides) under Sorghum bicolor (sorghum). RNAcentral's name for it is "long non-coding RNA (SBIC_LNC003546)". Lineage: Eukaryota; Viridiplantae; Streptophyta; Magnoliopsida; Poales; Poaceae. The record is from RNAcentral.
AACCCUAUAUGUCCAAAGCGGAACGAUACAAUACAAUCACGGCAUGACAACAUUGUGGUGGCACUCCUCAAACCUAAUAAGGCCCUAUUGAUAUUCUUAAAACAACGGUCGCGUGGCUGACACACUCUUUCUUAGCUAGCCAACCACUCCAUGGACACCCUGAAUCAUGUCUGGCCGCUAGCGCGGCAGGAAACCGACAGCAGAUCGAGUCAUCUGGCGGCCAGCAGCUUGUGCUAGGCACACGCAAAGGUGAAGAAAAGGGAGUAGAUAUAAUCAUGUGGAGGAUGAAUGUUCAUGUGGAGGAUAUAAUCCCUGAAACAAGUCUGGAAAUGUCACUGCGAUAUGCAUGCCAGCACGUAAAAAAAUAAAGGUAACAAUCUUUCCUUCCAGGCUCGCGAAAAAAAAGCAACAAUCAUUCAUCUUACUGGUACCACAAAUGAGAAACAGAGAAAUAAAAGCGAUGGGCUAGUUGAUGCAAUCUAGAGGCCAUGCUUGCACCUUAAAUUUUUCUCUAAAAAAAAAAAUGCUUGCGCCUUAAAUCGCUAUGUUUGGUAACAAAAAGUAACAAAUUGAUCUCACCCAUUUUAAAGUCCCAGAUAACCAAUCGUCCAAAUCGAUAUGAGAGCACCAUAUUGUUGGAAUAUGAUUUGCGUGGAGACAGCGGCUAGUGGGCGUCAACGUUCGUGCUAGAAACACAUGAAAAAGCCGCUUUGAACAUCUCGAUGCAAUCUUGUUCCAGGUCAGCCUCGCUUGUCUGCUUGUUUUGGUUCUCUAGCUCUUUAUUCUAAAGCUCCUGUCACCUC